AUGGCGCCUCUCAGAACAACUGUGUUGUUGUGGAGCCUCUUGAGGAGUUCUCCGGGCGUGGAAAGAGUGUGUUUCCGGGCUCGAAUCCAGCUCUGGCACGGUGGCCUGCUCCAACCGCUACCUUGCUCUUUCGAGAUGGGGCUGCCACGCCGCCGGUUCAGCUCUGAGGCUGCAGAAUGUGGUAGCCCAGAGACCAAGAAACCUACAUUUAUGGAUGAGGAAGUUCAAAGCUUACUCACGAAAAUGACAGGCUUGAACUUGCAGAAGACUUUUAAGCCAGCUAUAUAAGAACUGAAGCCACCAACCUAUAAGCUAAUGACUCAGGCACAGUUGGAAGAGGCUACAAGACAGGCAGUUGAGGCAGCUAAAGUAAGAUUAAAAAUGCCACCAGUUCUGGAAGAGCGAGUACCAAUAAAUGAUGUGUUAGCUGAAGAUAAGAUUUUGGAAGGAACAGAAACAACCAAAUAUGUGUUUACUGAUAUAUCAUAUGGCAUACCACACCGGGAGCGUUUUAUUGUCGUCAGAGAACCAAGUGGCACACUACGCAAAGCCUCUUGGGAAGAAUGGGACCGAAUGAUACAAGUUUAUUUCCCAAAAGAAGGUCGUAAAAUUUUGACACCAAUAAUUUUCAAGGAAGAAAAUCUUAGGACUAUGUAUAGCCAGGACAGGCAUGUUGAUGUCCUCAAUCUCUGCUUUGCCCAGUUUGAGCCAGAUUCCACUGAGUAUAUCAAGGUUCAUCACAAGACCUAUGAAGAUAUAGAUAAAUGUAGAAAAUAUGACCUUUUACAUUCAACAAGAUACUUUGGUGGAAUGGUGUGGUAUUUUGUAAAUAAUAAAAAGAUUGAUGGUUUGCUGAUUGACCAGAUUCAGAGAGAUUUAAUCGAUGAUGCAACCAACUUGGUCCAGCUGUGUCACAUGCUCCAUCCAGACGGCCAGUCGGCUCAAGAGGCCAAGGAUCAGGCUGCUGAGGGAAUAAAUUUAAUCAAGAUCUUUGCAAAAACAGAAGCACAGAAGGGAGCCUAUAUAGAACUAACACUGCAAACUUAUCAAGAAGCACUCAGUCGCCAUUCUGCAGCUUCCUAAAAUAUUUUUAAAAUACAUUUAUUUUACUAAAAAAA
This is an RNA transcript of Nomascus leucogenys (northern white-cheeked gibbon), 1118 nucleotides long. It is a transcript of the gene named 28S ribosomal protein S22, mitochondrial pseudogene, with no coding region annotated. Lineage: Eukaryota; Metazoa; Chordata; Mammalia; Primates; Hylobatidae. The record is from RefSeq and is a predicted model, not a curated record. The transcript has a single exon.